RNAcentral lists this long non-coding RNA (2966 nucleotides) under Olea europaea subsp. europaea. Lineage: Eukaryota; Viridiplantae; Streptophyta; Magnoliopsida; Lamiales; Oleaceae. The record is from RNAcentral.
UCUAAAUACAAAACUCGUGCAACGCGCACGUGUCAAAGCCUAGAUUUAGAAUAUUGGCCAAUCCAACAACGUUAUUCAUUAAUUUACUGGUAUAGGCUUUCGAUCAUUUUCACUGCCUUUCGUAGAAGAACACGGAAUAAACGCGAAGACAUAUACAGCGAAUUCUAUCAUCCAGGGUUUGGGAUGGCCGACCCAGUUGCAUCUGGAUCGGGACUCUUCAAGUUCCUCCGGCCCGGGGUGCGUCCGCAGGCCACUGACAUCCAGGCCGCCGCUCUGUGGGGCGUCACCGCCACCACUACCGCCGUGUGGUUCAUCCAGGUCCACUUUAAAAUCCCUUUUCUCCAGUGUUAUAGAUCUAGAUCUUUGAUUAAUACCUGGCAUGAUUUUGACUUUGUAUAAGGUUUUUAUUUUGUUUACCCAAUUUUGAUUUAUUUUUGUUUUAUUUCGCAUUUCUUAUAGAUUUUAUGCUUUAGCUUUUAUUUUGAUUUUCCGUUUGAAUUUUUGACAAUAAUUUUUUUAUUUUGUUUCAUGGCAAUCGAUCGAAUUUCAUUAUGUGAGGCAAUUUAUUAAUUGAGUCGUUGCCUUUUCCUCUAUUUGUGGAAUUUAAAUUCGGGAAAUGGUCAACUUCUAAAAUAUGAAUCAUUAUACAAUUCAAUACCAAGUAUUAUAUGCCAUAUUAACAGAGAUGGCGAAAUAACAAUGAAGGAACUUUGUACGUCUCAGACCAUUUUUCCCUUAUCUUCUGCAUCUCAAUUUUUAUUUAUUUCUUUAUUUUUUUUCCAUGUCGAGGUAAAUCGAAUUUCAGGAGUUUGGUCUUUAUUGUAUUAAGAUUUGCUAGCAUUGAUAUGGGAUAUUUGGUGAAACAUAGUAUUUGGUUUAAUCUUUUUUUGGGCCAAAAUGUGUCUCCAAACUUAUUAAAUUGGGUGUGUCAUCUAGAUUGGUCCCCUCAAUGCCAUCAGGCAUUUCCCACAUAAAAGCUAUAAUCCUCAACCAUAUUAAAUGUAUAAAAAUGUGGACUUUUGUAGCCAUUUUCGCACCAAUAUUUCAGUAUCAUCAGUGGAUAAUUAAUCUGAGUUUCACAUGUGCAUCAUAUAAAUUGGCGUUUGAUGAUGUUGGCUUAAGUUUGGAACCUGCUUCUGUAUUAAAAUUUGCUGGUAUAUUACUAGGAUCAUCAGAAAUUGUGGUUGGAAUAUUUAAAAAUUUCUUAUCGAUGCAUAGUAUUGCUUGCCAUCAAAUUGCUUUCAGAACAUUACUCUAUUGAAGCUACCGAACUCAAUGUGCCUAGGCAUCUAAACUUCUUAAACUCAAAACAUUAAUUUAUUUCAUUUCUAAAUUGAAAUACUUGCUAUGUAGAAGUCUUUAGUAUGAUUUUUUUUUAUUUUUUAUUUUUUAUUGGUACAUUGAUAUUUUUCCUUGAAGUAAAUAUAUUGAUAUAAAAUGUUUGGCAAAUGAAAUUGAAGUUAACCCAAAUUAAAUAAGACACUAGCGAUAAUAAAUGCAGUUCUCCCCCCCCCCCCCCCCCCCCCCCCCCCAACAAACCCAAAAUCCCCCCAAACCAUUUUUUCGCAUCCCCUUAUUGUGUGUAAUCUUUAUGAGCACCUUGCAAGGUCCACCAAACAUUGAAAUUAGUUUUGGGAUUUUUUUGGAGGUCAUCGAUGUUAAUCGAUUGAUUUAUUAUUUGAUAUUUUUGGGAAAGGGCAUUUUUUUUUCCUUUUUGCCAAGCUUAAAAACUUCAUUGUAAGUAAAAGCAAGUUCUAAAAUUAAUCUACUUUUGUUGGUUAAAAUUUAAAAAAAGUAAACUAUUUUGAGAAAAACAAGUGCCCUACUCUCAAUAUUUUAUCAAUGACCAAGCAUAUUUGGAAACUAAAGUUAUAGUUAGUCGUAAGACCUACUUAUCAACUUACAUGCUCGAAAAAGAAGUGAUACCUACUUUUCAGUCUAACCAACCAUGCUUUUAAUGAUGCUGCUCAAAUAACAAAGGGGCUUGUUGAAGAUUAAAUUAAACGUGUGUUGUGUUGCUUUGUUUUCAUGUUUAUCUAUGCAGUAUUGCUAUUUGUUUGGAGUGAGUGUAUUAUCUAAUUGGUAUUAACAUGCAUUGCUGUCUCUCUUUCUUUGGCACAAGAUAGAUGAUUAUAGAAAGGUGUUAUUUGGAUACAUAUAAUUGAUGAUUUGUGUGAUUUUUGGUCUCAGAAGUAUGCAAUAUUUAAUUAAAGUAUGUGGUCUCUUUACCUUUUUUUUUUUUAUUUAAACAAAAAAAUUCUGUCUAUUUACAUUCAACUAACUUAGAUCUUGGUAUCAUUUUGGAAUAUGUACAGCCUUUUGAUUGGUUGAAAAAGACACUUUUUGAGAGAUCCAACUCUGAAGAGAAGUGAAUGGGAAUGUGACUUCUUGCUGGUAACCUUUUCUGAGAUUGUUAUUGCUGAUGUGAACUCUGAGUAGGGGAAUUCAGUUGAAUAAUACCAUUUUGUUUCAUGUUGUCCAUGAAAAAGCUCUUUCCAUGUUAAUUUUUGGAGUAAUUCAGUAAAAAGCAUGGAUUCGAUCUUUAUCUCUCUUUCAUUUGUCAUAUUCUCUGGAAGACUGUUUUAUACAAUGGAGUAUUGUGUUCUAGUUAUUGAAAAACUGGAGCAUUGAUGAAUAAAGUUGGGAAAAAUCUUAGCCAUGAUGUUCCGUAGGUCAAUUUUCACUUGCUUCUAGUGUCUUUCUUUCUUUCUUCAUUUUUUUUUCUUUGGCAAAUGGGUUCUCAGACAUUAAUUUUCUUAAAAAGGAUGUCAUUUGAUUGUUUUGUGUCCAAAAGGAACGCUUUGCUAUGGGAAUUGAAGAUCGAGACUUUAUUUGCUAAAAGAAUAAUGCUAUCUAACCUUGGUAGGGAACCUCAGGGCCAUAUAGACUUGCACCAUUGGGGCUAAAAUGCACUAUUCUUGCUAAGAACGUGAGAAUGAAACCCGAAAAUUUCCCCACAUACUUCC